Molecule: ribosomal RNA, 72 nt
Filed under: Anthoceros agrestis
Lineage: Eukaryota; Viridiplantae; Streptophyta; Anthocerotopsida; Anthocerotales; Anthocerotaceae
Source: RNAcentral
UGGUGCGGUCAUACCAGGGCUACUACACCGGAUCCCAUCAGAAGUUAAGCGCCCUUGGGCCGGAUCAGUACU